UUCGCAAUGCCCGAAAGGGUGACGAAGCGACGCCGCGUGAGCGAAGAAGGCCCUAGGGUUGUAAAGCUCUGUCGGGGGUUAUGAAAUGUAGAUCGGUUAAUACCCGGUUUAUUUAACAAAGGCCCCAAAGGAAGCCUCGGCUAACUCUGUGCCAGCAGCCGCGGUAAUACAGAGGUGGCAAGCGUUGUUCGGUAUUAUUGGGCGUAAAGAGCACGUAGGUGGUUUUGUAAGUCAGAUGUGAAAGCCUUCUGUUCAAAGGAAGAACGGCAUCUGAAACUGCGAAUCUUGAGUGUAGGAGGGGAGAGCGGAACUUCUGGUGGAGCGGUGAAAUGCGUAGAUAUCAGAAGGAACGCCGGCGGCGAAAGCGACUCUCUGGCCUAUUACUGACACUGAGUGUGCGAAAGUUAGGGGAGCAAACGGGAUUAGAUACCCCGGUAGUCCUAACCGUAAACGAUGGGCACUAAGUAGAGGGGUUUU
Molecule: ribosomal RNA, 477 nt
Filed under: Candidatus Scalindua wagneri
Lineage: Bacteria; Pseudomonadati; Planctomycetota; Candidatus Brocadiia; Candidatus Brocadiales; Candidatus Scalinduaceae
Description: bacterial SSU rRNA
Rfam family: Bacterial small subunit ribosomal RNA
Source: RNAcentral